Epithele typhae is the source of this 90-nucleotide non-coding RNA. Lineage: Eukaryota; Fungi; Basidiomycota; Agaricomycetes; Polyporales; Epitheliaceae. The record is from the annotation of a RefSeq genome assembly.
GGGCAAAUGGUGUAGUUGGUUAUCACAUCCGCUUAGCAGCAUCGAAAUACUGGAUGCGGAAGGUGUUGGGUUCAAUUCCCAAUUUGUCCA